UACGGGGGGAGCAAGCGUUGUUCGGAUUUACUGGGCGUAAAGGGCAGGUAGGUUGUCUUGUAAGUCUACUGUGAAAUCCCCGGGCUUAACUCGGGAAGUGCGGUGGAUACUGUAAGACUAGAGUACUGGAGGGGUUCGUGGAAUACCCGGUGUAGCGGUGAAAUGCGUAGAUAUGCGGAGGAACACCGAUGGCGAAGGCAAUCCCCUGGGCCUG
Molecule: ribosomal RNA, 214 nt
Filed under: uncultured prokaryote
Description: partial 16S ribosomal RNA
Rfam family: Bacterial small subunit ribosomal RNA
Source: RNAcentral